GACGAACGCUGGCGGCGUGCCUAAUACAUGCAAGUAGAACGCUGAAGAGAGGAGCUUGCUCUUCUUGGAUGAGUUGCGAACGGGUGAGUAACGCGUAGGUAACCUGCCUUGUAGCGGGGGAUGACUAUUGGAAACGAUAGCUAAUACCGCAUAACAAUGGAUGACACAUGUCAUUUAUUUGAAAGGGGCAAUUGUUCCACUACAAGAUGGACCUGCGUUGUAUUAGCUAGUAGGUGAGGUAAUGGCUCACCUAGGCGACGAUACAUAGCCGACCUGAGAGGGUGAUCGGCCACACUGGGACUGAGACACGGCCCAGACUCCUACGGGAGGCAGCAGUAGGGAAUCUUCGGCAAUAGGGGCAACCCUGACCGAGCAACGCCGCGUGAGUGAAGAAGGUUUUCGGAUCGUAAAGCUCUGUUGUAAGUCAAGAAUGGGUGUGAGAGUGGAAAGUUCACACUGUGACGGUAGCUUACCAGAAAGGGACGGCUAACUACGUG
Molecule: ribosomal RNA, 497 nt
Filed under: uncultured bacterium
Lineage: Bacteria
Description: partial 16S ribosomal RNA
Rfam family: Bacterial small subunit ribosomal RNA
Source: RNAcentral